GUGGGGAAUAUUCCGCAAUGGACGAAAGUCUGACGGAGCAACGCCGCGUGAGUGAUGAAGGUUUUCGGACUGUAAAGCUCUGUUGUUUAGGACGAAAGUGCCUGUUGCAAAUAGUUACAGGUAUUGACGGUACUGAACGAGGAAGCCAUGGCUAACUACGUGCCAGCAGCCGCGGUAAUACGUAGGUGGCAAGCGUUGUCCGGAAUUAUUGGGCGUAAAGAGCAUGUAGGCGGGAAUCUAAGUCUGUUGUGAAAAUGCGGGGCUCAACCCCGUAUUGCGAUGGAAACUGGGUUUCUUGAGUGCAGGAGAGGAAAGGGGAAUUCCCAGUGUAGCGGUGAAAUGCGUAGAUAUUGGGAGGAACACCAGUGGCGAAGGCGCCUUUCUGGACUGUGUCUGACGCUGAGAUGCGAAAGCCAGGGUAGCGAACGGGAUUAGAAACCCCGGUAGUCC
This 450-nucleotide ribosomal RNA is filed under the name uncultured bacterium. RNAcentral describes it as "partial 16S ribosomal RNA". It matches the Rfam family "Bacterial small subunit ribosomal RNA", at positions 354 to 796 of the family's 1533-position model. The record is from RNAcentral.